UACGUAGGUGGCAAGCGUUGUCCGGAUUUAUUGGGCUUAAAGGGUGCGUAGGUGGUCUAGUAAGUCAGUGCUGAAAUAUCCCGGCUUAACCGGGAGGGUGGCAUUGAUACUGAUGGACUUGAGUGGAGUUGAGGUAGGCGGAAUUGACGGUGUAGCGGUGAAAUGCUUAGGUAUCGUCAAGAACACCGAUAGCGAAGGCAGCUUACCAAGCUCUAACUGACACUGAUGCACGAAAGUGUGGGGAUCAAACAGG
RNAcentral lists this ribosomal RNA (253 nucleotides) under uncultured bacterium. RNAcentral's name for it is "partial 16S ribosomal RNA". It matches the Rfam family "Bacterial small subunit ribosomal RNA", at positions 524 to 776 of the family's 1533-position model. The record is from RNAcentral.